GUGUUGUCGAAUCUGCAACUUGUCUCUCCUGCUACUGGUUCUCUCUUCCUCUCAUUGUCUCUCCUUCUGUAGUCUCAAUUUUGAAAUUUAAGUUUUAAAUAAUUUUGAAUGAAUUUUGCCAACCUACAUUCUAGCUAUGCAGUUUCAGAAUCUCUUUUGUAUCAUGCCUCGGGUCAAUCCACCAUAUCUGUCACCAAGGUCCACUCGAGAGCACUGUUAGAUAAGGGGGAGCUAACUCGUAUGUGCUGGAACCAAGGGACAGGGGGUCAGUCUAUCGCUAGACUUAAUGUUCUGAUAGGCAUAGCUAAAACGCAAGGAAGGUUUUCAUAAUUUAAUUAACGAUAACGAUUUAAAUGAAUGAUAACAAAUCAAUCAAUAAACAAUGCCAAAUAAUAAUAAUCUAAUUAAAGUACAAAGUAUCAAUUCAAAAUAACAAAUCCAAAGUAAAACUAUUUCUCUUUAAAAUGUAAAAUAUAAAAUAAAUGCCAAAAUUACUAAAUCAUAAAAUGUACUUAAUCUCAAUUUCAGAAUGUAAAAGUCUCAAAAUAAAAGUUUCUCAAAAGUAUAAUUUUCUAAAGUUAAAUUAUGAGUCAGAGAUAAAUUUUGUCUCACACUACACAGUCAACUGGUAGACUGGUAGACAGUCUUAUAGGGCCAGUAUAAUGACAUGAGUAGUGUGAGGUUACGCUUCCGAAACACUGACUGUUAUCUUAAAAAUUCCCAAAAAUAAAAGGUGAGUCAAAAAUACAUUUUUGUCUAAACACUACAAAGUCAACUAGUAGACUGAUCGACAGUCUUACAGAUCCAGUAUAAUAGACUUUAGUAGUGAAAGGUUAGGUUUCCGAAAGGUGACUGCUUUUCCAAAAUUUCACAAUGAUAUUUAUAUUAAAACACAAAAUAACUCAACAU
This 909-nucleotide long non-coding RNA is filed under the name Mytilus galloprovincialis (Mediterranean mussel). Lineage: Eukaryota; Metazoa; Mollusca; Bivalvia; Mytilida; Mytilidae. The record is from RNAcentral.